UACGGAGGGUGCGAGCGUUGUCCGGAAUCAUUGGGCGUAAAGGGCGCGUAGGUGGCGCGGUAAGCGUGCGGUGAAAGCCUGGGGCUCAACCCCGGGUCGGCCGUGCGAACUGCUGGGCUUGAGCACUGUAGAGGCAGGCGGAAUUCCGGGUGUAGCGGUGGAAUGCGUAGAGAUCCGGAAGAACACCGGUGGCGAAGGCGGCCUGCUGGGCAGUUGCUGACACUGAGGCGCGACAGCGUGGGGAGCAAACAGG
RNAcentral lists this ribosomal RNA (253 nucleotides) under uncultured bacterium. RNAcentral describes it as "partial 16S ribosomal RNA". It matches the Rfam family "Bacterial small subunit ribosomal RNA", at positions 524 to 776 of the family's 1533-position model. The record is from RNAcentral.